UAGGGAAUCUUCGGCAAUGGACGAAAGUCUGACCGAGCAACGCCGCGUGAGUGAAGAAGGUUUUCGGAUCGUAAAACUCUGUUGUUAGAGAAGAACAAGGAUGAGAGUAACUGUUCAUCCCUUGACGGUAUCUAACCAGAAAGCCACGGCUAACUACGUGCC
RNAcentral lists this ribosomal RNA (162 nucleotides) under uncultured bacterium. Its description in RNAcentral is "partial 16S ribosomal RNA". It matches the Rfam family "Bacterial small subunit ribosomal RNA", at positions 355 to 509 of the family's 1533-position model. The record is from RNAcentral.